CUUGGCUCGACAGGUCAACAAGCUGGGCUGGGCAACAAAAACAUGGCCACACAAAAGCUUUAUUUAUUGGGAAAUUCCUCUGUAGAGUCUCUAUCAGGUGCAGAGUACUCGAAGUUGACAUCGACAUUUUCAGGUCAGUUCAGUGAUUACUGAAUUGAGGGAAAGAUUUCAAUCACAUUCAAUGAAAUCAUAUCGAUCUCGAUUUCAGAGGUAAUCAUCUUUCUUAUCAUGUUAUA
Cajanus cajan (pigeon pea) is the source of this 236-nucleotide non-coding RNA. The record is from RefSeq and is a predicted model, not a curated record. NCBI's taxonomy places the organism in Eukaryota, Viridiplantae, Streptophyta, Magnoliopsida, Fabales, Fabaceae.